Benincasa hispida (wax gourd) is the source of this 637-nucleotide long non-coding RNA. RefSeq lists it as uncharacterized. The record is from RefSeq and is a predicted model, not a curated record. Lineage: Eukaryota; Viridiplantae; Streptophyta; Magnoliopsida; Cucurbitales; Cucurbitaceae.
AAUUCUAGCGAAGUAAGCUUUUUAUAUAUAUACAAACAAUAACAAACGAAACGAACAAUCGUUUCACUCUUUUCAUCUUCUUCCUUCAUUCUUCACCGUUCAUUUUUCAGCCGUGUAGAACUAUUUUUCCGGCAAGUUAUUUCUUCGGCAGCGUGUGCAGAUUUUCCGAUAGGUUGCUCUUUUCCUUUCUUUCAAAUUUCCAUUCCAGAUUUUUAUUGCUAAUUAAAUUGGAUUUUGAUGGCAUCCUCUGGUAAAUCAAAGAAGACAAGGAUCCCUUCUCAAAUGGAGUUUAGGAAGACUGUAAAAUGUAGUCGUGGAAGGAAAGGUUAUAACAAGCAGACUUGCAGACAUUCUCUACCCUACAAUACUCAAUAGUGCUGGUCAUUGUUGUUUUCACUCAAAUGUAGUUGUUGAUUUUUAAAAAUUCAUCUUUGUUAUUGAGUUAUAUUUUGGACUCUAAUGGAUAUUUGAAGCUUUUUCCCCCCUUAAAAACACUCCUAAUGUGUGCUAAAGGUAUGAAAUAUUCUUUCAUAUAUAUGUCAUGUACUAGGUAUUCUCUUGGAACUUUAUUUAUUAUGAACCAUUUCUGUCUUUUGUCUAGACGAAUUUCAUGAAAAAUAAACUCAACUUCACGUCA